AUUCUUUUAAAUUCAAAUUCAGUUAGUGUUUGAAUUAGUUAAAAUUCUUUCUCUUGAGGUAUCCCUCUCGCUUUCUCUCUUCUCCACGCAUCUUCACCUCUCGCCAAUCUCUCUCUAACUCUGCUACAGAUUGAUUAUUAGACACCUUUUUUUUUUAAUCCCUUUGUAUUUGGGUUUCUUCAAUAGCCGUCCCGUCUGCUCAAACCCAUUCUUCAAACCUCUUGGAAGACACCUUGGGUUUCGUUGUUCUCCUCCGUCUACACCAGCGCCGUGCAUUCGUAAGCGAUUUCGUUGUUCUCCUCCAUCGCCGCUGCACUCCGAUCAGGUGUUGAAAGGUUCAAAGGCGGCAGUGGAUGAUGAUGAGCCUCCCAAGAUCAGCUUUAGAUUAGAGAUGGCGGAUGAUGAGACGAUACGGUGUGCAGCUGGAAUAGGAAACUGGAUCACUAAUGAUUUUAAAAUUUAUAUACACUAAUUAUGAGCAUGGAAGUUACAUUGCGCAAAACAAGCUCAUCUUCAGCUAAUGAGGUAUAUAGACAAAGAAAAAAUCUACAAAGGCAAAAGAAACGUAAACGAAAUGCAAGUGAUUUGAAUUGUUCAUUGCUACAUGAAUUGAAAAAUGUGUCUGAUUGCAUUCAUUGUGGUGCAAGAAGAUUUGAAUAUGAACCUCCUACCUUUUGUUGUGAUAAUGGAAAAGUUAAACUUGCAUUUUUUGAAGUUCCUCCGGAGUUGGAUGAAUUGAUUACAGCCCAGUCAAAAGAAGCUAUUAAUUUCAGAAGGAA
Long non-coding RNA from Salvia miltiorrhiza (redroot sage), 779 nucleotides. RefSeq lists it as uncharacterized. The record is from RefSeq and is a predicted model, not a curated record. Lineage: Eukaryota; Viridiplantae; Streptophyta; Magnoliopsida; Lamiales; Lamiaceae. The transcript is spliced from 5 exons.